UUUCGUUUAAGAAGUGAGCAAAAAUGAACACAGGAAAUCCUGUGUAUGAAGCCACUUCAGUUUGAAAAAAUCAUUCAGCAAAAUCAUCCAUCAAAUACUCCACAAGAAGUCAAGGUGGCAAAUCAUAACCCUCUGUCAUUUCAACUAAUUUCACUGCAGUGUACUCUGAGGAGGAGCCUGAAUAAAGAAAAUUAUGAGAUACAAACAUUUGGCAGUUGACUUUCCUAAGAAAGAAAGAAAGGAAGGAAGAAAGGA
Lagopus leucura (white-tailed ptarmigan) is the source of this 255-nucleotide long non-coding RNA. RefSeq lists it as uncharacterized. The record is from RefSeq and is a predicted model, not a curated record. The transcript has 3 exons. NCBI's taxonomy places the organism in Eukaryota, Metazoa, Chordata, Aves, Galliformes, Phasianidae.